Nicotiana tabacum (common tobacco) is the source of this 400-nucleotide long non-coding RNA. RefSeq lists it as uncharacterized. NCBI's taxonomy places the organism in Eukaryota, Viridiplantae, Streptophyta, Magnoliopsida, Solanales, Solanaceae. The record is from RefSeq and is a predicted model, not a curated record.
AAGUUGUUAUAGAUGACGAGAUCCACAAAAGUCGCCUUCUCUUAGUAGUUAACUUGCAAUAUUUAUAUGGUUAAAAUUAAAAGGUGCAUAUUGUGAUAGGAAAGCAGAAAGGUCCAUUGCUAUAUAUACCAACAAACAACAAGCCAUAUGGUCAUAUGGAGAUGCUCUCUCUGAUCUAAGAGAUUAGAGUCUUAGCCACAAAUGAUGGAUGAGUAGACCAUGGGUGUGGUAUGUUAUGUCAGACAAAGUACGCUCCCAAACUAAGGUGUCUUGCAGUCUAGACAGCCAAGAAGUUACCAACGUACGUAGCCUGCUGAAGGAUUGUGACAUUAUGUCAUUCUUUUUAAAAUAAAUGUUGACACCAUGGUUAAGUUAAAGAAAUCUUAGUUCUUUAUUAUUA